UUUGCCAGUUUGACUGUACUUCUUUGGUGUGAGAGGGGUUGUAGACAAGUGAUUGUACUGAGCACGUUCAGGCGCAGGACUCCCUUUUGUAUCAGACCUGAGGCUGUUAGGAAUGGUGGGAGUUGGAGUUGGUUUGCCAGUUUGACUGUAUUUCUUUGGUGUGAGAGGGGUUGUAGACAUGUGAUUGUACUGAGCAUGUUCAGACGCAGGACUCCCUUUUGUAUUCACUUUUGCAUCAGACCUGAGUUGGAGUUGGUUUGCCAGUUUGACUGUAUUUCUUUGGUGUGAGAGGGGUUGUA
RNAcentral lists this long non-coding RNA (299 nucleotides) under Anolis carolinensis (green anole). Its description in RNAcentral is "lncRNA (ENSACAG00000035120.1)". Lineage: Eukaryota; Metazoa; Chordata; Lepidosauria; Squamata; Anolidae. The record is from RNAcentral.